RNAcentral lists this ribosomal RNA (493 nucleotides) under uncultured bacterium. Its description in RNAcentral is "partial 16S ribosomal RNA". It matches the Rfam family "Bacterial small subunit ribosomal RNA", at positions 30 to 523 of the family's 1533-position model. The record is from RNAcentral.
AUUGAACGCUGGCGGCAUGCUUUACACAUGCAAGUCGAACGGUAACAGGUUAAGCUGACGAGUGGCGAACGGGUGAGUAAUGCAUCGGAACGUGCCCGACCGUGGGGGAUAACGCAGCGAAAGCUGCGCUAAUACCGCAUACGAUCUGAGGAUGAAAGCGGGGGACCGUAAGGCCUCGCGCGAUCGGAGCGGCCGAUGUCAGAUUAGGUAGUUGGUGGGGUAAAGGCCCACCAAGCCGACGAUCUGUAGCUGGUCUGAGAGGACGACCAGCCACACUGGGACUGAGACACGGCCCAGACUCCUACGGGAGGCAGCAGUGGGGAAUUUUGGACAAUGGGCGAAAGCCUGAUCCAGCAAUGCCGCGUGCAGGAAGAAGGCCUUCGGGUUGUAAACUGCUUUUGUACGGAGCGAAAAGGUCCUUUCUAAUACAAGGGGCUCAUGACGGUACCGUAAGAAUAAGCACUGGCUAACUACGUGCCAGCCGCCGCCGUAA